Long non-coding RNA from Carassius auratus (goldfish), 1697 nucleotides. RefSeq lists it as uncharacterized. Lineage: Eukaryota; Metazoa; Chordata; Actinopteri; Cypriniformes; Cyprinidae. The transcript is spliced from 3 exons. The record is from RefSeq and is a predicted model, not a curated record.
ACAAAACUGGCUUGAAUUUUGACAUUUUGUUUAGAGAAAUCAUUGUCAGUGCUGUGGCUUUGCAUUUCGUGCACAUGCUUCAGAAAUAUAUAGCCAUUGUACUCAUACAGGAGACAAAUCCAGCCUGAUAUCAUUCUCUCCUCGUUGUCUCUUUCAACACAAGGUGGCAAAGUAAAUGUGUGUACAAGACUUGUUUUAUUCAGACAAACAUUGUGGCUUCCCCUCAGCCACUGGAGAAGGACUAGUGGCAUUGCCUAAAGGAGGGCGACAUCUUUUCUUUCAUGCCUGGGAAAUGCAUUUACACGGUGCGUGUCAAAGACGACGACCAAACCCCGAGGUGAUACAGCCUGUCUCUCACAAGCAUUCAUUUAUUAUUCAGCAACAACAGAGCUCAGUCUGUAGUGCAGUGAUUUGACCGAGUACAACAUGUUUGCAGCCUCCUCUUUUAUUUCUUCCACUUCCUUAAGGGAAGGGUUAAUAUUGGCGUUGAAUGCAAUAUUUUAUAAAAUUUUCUUACUCUAUUCAAGUUUGGCUUCCUUCUGGUUUGAAGCACAUUUACGAUCCGAAAUGAUUCCUCAUGGAAACAAUGAAGUGCUGCAUUGUUUUCAUGUUUAAAAUUGUCAAAUUAUGGAAGCGAAAUUGGUUGCAAAUGUUUCACGAUGAUUCAAUGAAGGAUCCUCAUGAAUAUUCUCAACUUCAUGAAUAUACGAAUACGUACAUGCAUGCAGUGUUAUCAUUCUUUGUUAUCUUAAAAUAGCACCUUUUGUAAAGGCCAGUCAUUUAUCUCAUCUAUCUAUAUUCCCUCUAGUCAAGAUAAUAUGUGUCUGGUUGAUUGUGGUUAUUUUGACCUUUUCCCUUGAAACCAAUCUGUGACCGCUGGGUUCAGAUCAAAGGACACUUUUAUUGUCUUUCUCUAUAAUGAGCAGACAGGCAGACUGGGCUUGAAUGGACACGUUCAAAACAGACGCUCUGAUAACGCCCAGACGAUAAACAAGCGAUGAGUGCUGCUGUGACGAAUUGAUUCUGAAUGAGCUGAUUUGCAUGCAUUUAAAAGUCAUGCCUUUCAUCUGUGAAAUUAGACUUAAUAUUAGGUGGCUGUAUUUUUUUUUUAUGGCAUGCUCGCUCACGCUGACGAGGGAUUGUUUUUAUGGUUAAUAGAUUAAUAGUAUUAAAAACUGGCGAGAUACAAGCCUCGACGUUUGGUGCUUGACUUAGAGAAGCAGAGAAGAUUUUCCCUGCUGAUUCUUGACAGAAACAGUCAGGCGUUUGAGGAGGAGUUGGGAAAGUGUUGGAGUGGACCCUCUCUAGACUCGGCCACACUUGAAACCAACAGCUGCACACCCAAGAGCCCAAGCGGCACACUCACAGAAGAUAAAGGAGCCGGUGAUGCUUCACACACUCUUUCCUCUCCAAAUGAGGCAGCCAUGAAGAGUCAACAGGACGAGUCUGAUCUGCCACAGAAGAAGCGUAUUUUACCAGCCUGGAUGAUGACAUCAGCCAAAGGUGAGAGCUCAGCGGUGUAAGCGACUCCUACAAAACCCAAACAAGAAGCUACAUACAAGAAGGCAACUGGACCCAAACGGGCUCGUGCUGCACAGGUGUCAUCUGAGGAAGAGGAGGUGGAGGAACAGAUGCCCAGAAGGAAAGCGAAGGGACUGAAGAGUGACUCUGGAGACGUAUUCUGCACAAUGUGGGAU